ACAGCUUCUUCCAUCCAUAGAUGAAAUCAUGCCCAAAACUAGUACAAUAGUUGAUGUUUAUGAUGGUUUAUAUAGGCUAACCAGUCAUGCUUCCGAAAGACUGGUGAACCUCUCAAGAAAUCAUCUAAAUUUCAUUGUUGAUCAAAAUAAAGUUUUAAUUUUUAUUUGUAUUUUAUUCUGUGUUUUGCAAGGUUACUUCCAAAUACUAUUUUCAUGUGUUGAAGGUCUCCGAGCAUCUUUGAAAGUUAAAAUGAUUGUGUGGUCCUGCUACAGAAGCCAAAUCUGUUUGGACAAACAGAUUUGGUUUUGUUUGAGAUGACUGACAUUGAGGAAGAACAGUACAGGAAGCAAUAUCAGCUGUUGUUCUUCCAAAGGACUAUGAUGCUUCACAAGGCCGUUCUGGAGGAGAAUGUAGUAUAGGGGUGCACUUUUUUAUUCUGUACAUAAUGUAUGCUCAGAGAUUGGUGCUGUUGUAUGAUAGAUCUAUUAUGUAAUAUGUUUUUUUUUAUAAAAUAAUUGAGAAUGUGUAACCCAUGAAAUGAGUUUUUGAU
Impatiens glandulifera is the source of this 551-nucleotide long non-coding RNA. RefSeq lists it as uncharacterized. The record is from RefSeq and is a predicted model, not a curated record. The transcript is spliced from 2 exons. Lineage: Eukaryota; Viridiplantae; Streptophyta; Magnoliopsida; Ericales; Balsaminaceae.